GGGAUGGUAGCUCAGCCGGGAGAGCGUCCGCCUCACACGCGGGAGGUCACGGGUUCGAGCCCCGUCCACCCCA
This is a transfer RNA of Firmicutes bacterium CAG:791, 73 nucleotides long. It matches the Rfam family "tRNA". Rfam says of the family: Transfer RNA (tRNA) molecules are approximately 80 nucleotides in length. The record is from Rfam. Lineage: Bacteria; Bacillati; Bacillota.